GACGAGAAGACAACAAAAAUCACUCUUCCUCCUCCAGUCCUCCCAAGUCACUCUCGGCUCUCUGUUUUCUCUCAACAGACAAGCCACAAGAGGAAAAAAAAGGAACUCUCCACUUUUUCUCCCAAUACAACCUCUCGGCUCUCUCUCUCGAAUCCCCCUCUCAUUUCUUUUAACAAGCCACAAAACACUCCCUCAAUCUUCUCUCGGCUCCAUCUCUGGCUCUCUCAAUCUCAUAUGCACCUAUUCUCGGAGCAAAGAAAGGUGAAGGAAGGAAAUGAAGACAACAAGCAAUUGGAGUGUGAGGUGUUGGAUUUCCUUCAAAAUUUUGACCGAAGAAGCUCUUGCUUGAGUUGAGGUAUUUUUCCAGCUUUAUUAACCAUGUCAAACCCAUAUUUUAUCGUUUAAUUUUCUGGCUUUUGCUGUCUUUUAUUGAUGUUUGUUGUGUUGUUCAAAAUUUGGGAAAUGGCUUGAGCUAGAUUAAGAAAAAGGAAAUAGUUUUUGUAUAUGCAUGCUAGGUGUUUGAAAAAAUGCCUAAAUAAAAAACCGAAUUAAAGUACCUAUUAUUGUGCAAUUUUUUUUUGUUAAAAUGAAUGAUUACAGCUAGUACAAAGCCUGCAAAUGCUUGGUUAUCCAAAAUUUUGGAGUUUUUGAGCCUUAAGAGCAUUAGAAUAAUUUUCUUCAUUUUGGGGGCUGUUUUGACUUAAUGCAUCAUUUUGUUAUUGUUUACUUGUCAAACUAAGAUUAUAGUUGUAAUGUAGAAGUUAGAAGGAGGGUUUUGGCAUAAUUUUUAUGAUUUUUGGUGAAGGUUUAAGGGUUUUAAAAGGAUAAAAAACUGGGCUGUUUUUUGGCAUUUUGGCCACCUUCGGGUCAUUUUUUGUAAAAACUAACUUAAAAAAUGGAUUCAACGCGAAAAAUCGAGUGAGGGAGUGUAUUUUGGUGAAAUUUUGUGAUCGGAAAAAUCGCCGGCGACCGGCGGUGGCGGUGCCGGCGCCGCCAUGUCAGCCAUGGCUGGCGGUAGCGAGGAGCUUCAGCUGGCCAGGCAAGAAGAAGAAGAAACGGAAGGGGAGGAAGAAGAAAGAAAAGAAAGGAAAGAAAAGAAAAGAAGAAAAAAAAUGGUUUGGGCUAAUUUUUUUUUUUAAGGUGGGCUUGUGGUUAUUUUUUGGUUGGGUUUUGGUUUAUUUCUUUUGUGUUUCGGUUUGGGGUAGGAGGUCAGAGUUCAUGCAUUUUUGGUUGGGCUUGAAUGAUAAAAAGACGGGCUGGCCUGCUCGCUUCUCCUGGGUUUCGGCUGGGCUUAGGAAUUUUUGGCCCGAGUAAAAAAAAUAAAAGAGGCCCGAUGCCUUUUUCUUGCCCAAAUCAGAAACCGAAAUUUGCACUUUAGCCCCUGAUCUUUGGAGUAGUUUUACUACGGCCCAAAAUAUUUUAAAUUUCUUUCAAUUAGGUCCUUAAUUUAAUUGUAAUUUGGUCCUUAAAUUUUUAUUUUUAUUUAAUUUUGACCCCUAAACUUUAGAAAAAUUAUAUUUUGACCCUAAAAGUUUUUCAAUUUUUGCAAUUUAGUCUCUAGUGAAUUUUGACUCUCUUUAUUAUGAUUGUUUCUUUUCUUUAAUAGCUAAUUAUGAUACUUUUGAAUAUAUUUAACUUGUAAUUUUUAGAUGUUCUUCAAUUUCUUUACAUUUGACAUAUUAAUGUGAAUUUAGUAUUUUUAUUAUUAUUAUUAUUUUCAAUUAAAUUGGUGUCAUGAUUCUUUUGUUCAUUUUGAGUAUAAAUAGGCCAAUUUGACUUCCAUUUAGUCACCACUUCAAAAGGAAGGUAUCCCUAUUAUUAUUCAAAUGUUCAUUACGUGCUCUUAUGUGCUCCUAUGUGUUUAUAUUUUUUUUACAUGCUUUGUUAUUUAUUUGAUUCAAAUCUUCAUUCAAAUUUUCUUAUAUUUGUUUAGUUAAUUUUUAUAAUUAUUUGGGAGGUAUUUAAAUACCUCAAAAAUGUAAUAGAUAGGAUAAUUAGAUUUGUUUUAUUUUAUUUUUCCAUUUUAGACUGUAGUAAGGGUCUCCGAUGUAAUAGGUAGGUUGUGUGUUUAUGUGGCUUAUGUGUUAUAUGCUUUAUCCGCUUUCCUUAGGAUUUUUUCAUCUAGAUAUUAUGUUUACGUGUUACGUGCUAUGUGCUCUUAUGUAUUUAUUUGUUUUAAUUUAUGCCUUAUUUGUUUUAUUAUGUAUUAUUAAUGCAUGACGUCACCACACUAGUCCAACGCUAGUUGUUUCUUCUCCCUCCGUUUACUUGCUAGUCCAACGCUAGUAAGGAUUUUUAAAAAUGGGUUAAUCCAACGCUAGACUUUUAGAUUGUUCACGCAUUAGAUUCAUCUUUUGUAUGAUAUCCAUUACAUUUUUAUGCAUAUUUUUAUUUUUUUAGGAUCUUUUCUCAUUUGCAUGAUAUUUUUUAUUACAUUAUCUCCUACCCUUUAUAUGUGUUAAUCAUAUCAUUUAGAAUUGCAUCUCAUUUAAGAAAUUGUAAAAUAAGUUAAUUCAUUUGUUUGUUUAUAUUAGGAGAAUCAUUCAUUGAACAUGGAUAUGGGUGAUUAUAACUUUUUAAUUUAAAUACCCUAUUAAUCCCUGUAUAAAAAUUAUGUCAUGAAUUUUUGCCUCUCAUACCCGUUAUGUUGCAUUUUCUAUUCUUUGGCCACUUAUACUUAUAUAUAUAAUUUAAUUUUUUUUAAUUUUAUCAUUUGCAUACUCGUGGCUCCUUCAAAAAACUAUUUUGGUCUUCGCAAUUAAUGUGAUUGGUAUUAGUUAAACCCUUGAAUGAAUAUUUUGUCCCUCUCGAUGUUUUUUAUAAAUUUAGAUUUGCAUUCAUGUAGGAAACAUUCAAAUGUGAUAAAUUUAAGUGUUAGAUUAGGAAAAUUUUUGACUAAACCUCGUAAUUGGCUUAAACUAAGUUGAAAGGGUGCCUUAAAUUCGAGUCAAUCGAACUUUUGCCUUCCCUUUCUUCAAUUGUGACUUCCGAACUCAUUUUCUAUUAUUUUCAAAGAUUUGGAAUUGUCGAAAAGGGUUUUAUUUUAUUUAUUUUUACUUUAUUUUUGUUAGAAGUACUUUGAGGGUGACUUGGUACAUAAAAACUCAAUUCCAAGUGACGGCUCCUCUUUUUCUUAAAAAACCCUUUUAGCCUAAAUUUUGGACCCAAACUGUCGCAUUCUUUAAAGUCUUGUUUUAGGUCCUUUUUUACUCUUUUUUUAAAUAAAAUCAUAUCUUUUGUAAACACUAUAUUUUUCAUUGCAAAAAAUGGGCCGUGACACCAAUAUUCCAUUUAAUAGCUAUUCACCAAAAGAGAAAAAGGAAACCUUGUAUGUCAUCCUUGACCAUUUAAUCACAACUAGGUUCUCAUUAUCGGUCCCAAUAUAGACUCAAGUUGUGUUUGAUAAAACUGAAAAUUGAAUCUAUUAAAUUAUUGAAUUAUUAAGUAUCAAAUAUAUUAUAUUUGAAUGUAUAUCACAUUCACUGAUAAGUGAAUAACUUAUCACUUAAUUUUAAAAAUAAAUUUUGCUUAUAAAGUUUAGUGCAACUUAAUUAAUUAAGAUAUUCAAUUUUUGGUUAUCAAACGAUCUGAAUAUGAUAAUAUCUGAUUUCAUUAAAUUUAAGUGUCGAAUUGGGUUAUUAAACAGGUCUCAAUUUGAAUUGCUUAUUUGUAAAAUACAUAAGCACCUAUUCAAUUGGUCAUAGAAAUUUCAAAUUGGUUAACCUCCCCCACAUGUUUCAACUUUUUUUUAAACUAAUUAACUUUCCAUUGAAAUAAAGAAUCAUUCUGGUUGAAUGGUUGGAUUUGAAAGAUUUCCCUUGAGCAAUUUGAAAAGAAGUAGAAACAGCAAAUAAAUGUGCGUUUGCGUGUAUUUUUUUUAAUUUUUUUGAUAAAUUAUUUCACGUAAUGCAUUAAAAUUUAAGGAUCGACUUGUUGAAAAUUAACGAUGUGGAGGCUAAUUUGUUAGCUAAAAAACGUUGGACGACAACUAUAUUGCUCAUUUGCACAAUUUAUUUAUUUUGUUCUUUGUCAGUUUUUUCAUUUAUGAAGCUUUUACUCCCCCUGGGCCGUGGAUGCUUGAAGUCCAUAACCAGCCCUACUCCUAGUGCAGUUGCACGAAGAACAUAGACCGCCGCCUUUCAAGAUCGAUUCACUGAAGCUAAGGACACGGCGGAGCAGACAAUUAAGUCUAAGUGGCCUUCCCACAUAACACUGGUGGAGCAGAACCCACCGGUCUCCGCCGGAGGAGAGCUAAAACACCUCUGAAAGAACAAAAAAACUUUGUUGCUUCCGCCAAAGAAGGCGAACCUUUUCUAAGGACAAGGAUGCAGUACCAUAAAAGCAAUGCAUACACGAACAAGGUAUUUGCUUGAUAAAUUAACAACUUGCGAUUAAUCCUUCACUGUUUUCUUUUAGUUCCUGGUUUCUUUCAAUAAAUGAUAGUCUACUUUAACGGUGAAGGAAGUGAUGGCAUAAGUAAAAGGUAUGAGCAGGAUGAAUUGAUGGUAGUAAUGGGGUAAAAGUAGGAACGGAAGAAAAUCAAAAGAAAGAAAGAAAGAAGAGGGCCCCUGUUCUUGUACAAGUUGUUGCAAUGUAACAUUCGCUACCUCUUCGAGAGCAAUAUUACACCAUUGCUUAAAUAAGACUGGUGUAAUGGGUUGUAAUAAAAGGCGUGGGUUGCAUUCUAGAAUUGAAUGCUAACCUAGACUUCGCCCUACAUUAUUUGCUUUUACCCCGUUUCAGCUGCCAUCAAUUUUCCAGCAAUGAUCAAACCUUAUUGCUGAUCCUUUAAUUGUAUUACUUAAAAUUUUUUCUUUACGGGCUUUUAUAUUUUGCAAUGCCGUUUUUGAAGUUAUUUCUCACUUUACUGCAUU
RNAcentral lists this long non-coding RNA (4874 nucleotides) under Coffea arabica (coffee). RNAcentral's name for it is "long non-coding RNA (CARA_LNC002045)". The record is from RNAcentral. Lineage: Eukaryota; Viridiplantae; Streptophyta; Magnoliopsida; Gentianales; Rubiaceae.